RNAcentral lists this long non-coding RNA (265 nucleotides) under Homo sapiens (human). Its description in RNAcentral is "non-protein coding lnc-ZNF609-4:1". The record is from RNAcentral. Lineage: Eukaryota; Metazoa; Chordata; Mammalia; Primates; Hominidae.
AGAUCUCCAACAUACUAAAUACCAGAUCACCUAGCAUACCAAAUACCAGAUCUCCCAACAUACCAAAUAUCAGAUCAACCAACAAACCAAAUACCAGAUCACCAACAAACCAAAUACCAGAUCUCCCAACAUACCGAAUACCAGAUCACCAACAUACCAAAUACCAGAUCUCCAACAUACCAAAUACCAGAUCUCCAACAUACCAAAUACCAGAUCUCCAACAUACCAAAUACCAGAUCAACAACAUACUAGAUCUCCUAAGAUC